This is a long non-coding RNA of Portunus trituberculatus (swimming crab), 844 nucleotides long. RefSeq lists it as uncharacterized. NCBI's taxonomy places the organism in Eukaryota, Metazoa, Arthropoda, Malacostraca, Decapoda, Portunidae. The record is from RefSeq and is a predicted model, not a curated record. The transcript has 2 exons.
UAUAAAGAACAUGUAUAAUAAUAUAAAAUCUUGUGUUUUUGUUAAUCAGAAACUUUCAGAUUACUUUGUCAGUUACACUGGAGUUAGACAAGAAGAAAAUUUAUCACCACUUUUGUUCUCUUUUUAUGUGAAUGACAUUGAAGAUCAUUUGUUAAGAAACAAUUGUAAUUAUGUCAGUAUUGUAGAUGAAUGGGUUGAUGAUUUGAUGCAGAUUCUUAUAUCAUAUUAAUGUAUGCGUGUAAUAUGAUUCUCAUCAUAUUAGAAUUAUAAUGUCAUUGUUGGCACCUUUGAAUGUGGAGCGGGCAGUGUGUGUCGCUGUCAUUGGUUGGAAAGAGGUGUAGACACGGGUUGUAUUCCAGUUACUGUAUAAUUGUUAUUGGCAUAUAUGACAAGAAUUGUAAUUAUUAUUGAGAUACAUAUAUUGUUUUCUUACUUAUUAACAAGUUUGGUAUUGGUUAGUAAUGUGUAUUUGUUUGUCAAGAGGAAGUUUUCUUUUAGGGUCUGUGUAUGUAACACGGAUAUAUAUUAUACCGCACUCAGGUUGUAGGGGUAAGGUAGGCAGAGGUACAGUUGGUGCCUGUCAGGGGUGAGUGGCGGUUGUUUGACUGAGGUGAGUUUUGUGAUAACAUUAUUUCUCUGAUUUGUUUGACUUAUGUUAUGCCGCUGAUUGUGCAUAUUGGUUGGUGUUAUAUUAAAUGCGGUGCUGAUAGGAGGAUUUGAUUAAGUGUAACUUUGCAGCAUAGUUGGGGUAAUGCUGUAAUCAGACAUGUGGUGAAGUCUGCCUUGGCUGAUGAUGGGCGGUCAUUUUGCUGAAUCAAUCAAUAAAUCAAGAUACAGCAAGUCA